GACGAACGCUGGCGGCGUGCUUAACACAUGCAAGUCGAACGGAAAGGCCCUGCUUUUGUGGGGUGCUCGAGUGGCGAACGGGUGAGUAACACGUGAGUAACCUGCCCUUGACUUUGGGAUAACUUCAGGAAACUGGGGCUAAUACCGGAUAGGAGCUCCUGAUGCAUGGUGGGGGUUGGAAAGUUUCGGCGGUUGGGGAUGGACUGGCGGCUUAUCAGCGUGUUGGUGGGGUAGUGGCGUACCAAGGCUUUGACGGGUAGCCGGCCUGAGAGGGUGACCGGCAGCAUUGGGACUGAGAUACGGCCCAGACUACUACGGGAGGCAGCAGUGGGGAAUAUUGCACAAUGGGCGGAAGCCUGAUGCGGCAACGCCGCGUGCGGGAUGACGGCCUUCGGGUUGUAAACCGCUUUCGCCUGUGACGAAGCGUGAGUGACGGUAAUGGGUAAAGAAGCACCGGCUAACUACGUGCCAGCAGCCGCCGCCG
Molecule: ribosomal RNA, 484 nt
Filed under: uncultured bacterium
Lineage: Bacteria
Description: partial 16S ribosomal RNA
Rfam family: Bacterial small subunit ribosomal RNA
Source: RNAcentral